Long non-coding RNA from Ctenopharyngodon idella (grass carp), 3839 nucleotides. RefSeq lists it as uncharacterized. The record is from RefSeq and is a predicted model, not a curated record. The transcript is spliced from 3 exons. NCBI's taxonomy places the organism in Eukaryota, Metazoa, Chordata, Actinopteri, Cypriniformes, Xenocyprididae.
UGACUGGUAGUGUAGGUUUUUUUGAACAGUAUUAGGUGUAGCCUAGCAGCCCACUCCAUACUCAUUGAGACCCAGGUUGCUUUUGCUGAGCCUUUGGAAUGUGCUCGGUGCUACGUUUGGGUCUUAGGGUCUUCACUGCGGGAGUCAGGGGCAGCGGCAGGAACCACACUGUGCCUAUGAACUCUAUUCAAACUCUGAAAUGCCUCUGCCUAGGCAGGAAAUUGAAAUAUUGGGCUGUAUGUGCAGACCAGUGACCAUCUAUCAUGGCAUGUUGGCUCAAGGAGAGCAGCUCCAUAGGCUGCGGAGUCUACAGGUUAAGAGGUAAAAAGACGAGAAGAGAGUGCCUUGCAGGGGUCCAGUUCUAAACUCUUACAAUCCUUUCACCUCAAAGGGAAAAAAAGAAAAAAAAGGGGGCCCUCUUUUACUGAUCCAGCAGUUGAGGGGGCAUGAGUCAGGGAUAGCUAAUCUGUAGUAUUUCUUUUUGUAACUCAGAAGAGGUAUUGGCAAGAUGUUAGGCAAGGCCAAUGUCACCUACAAACACUCAAAAUCAAAACACCUGAUCAACACUUGACACUAUUGAGUUCGAAAAUGUACACUGCAGUAGUCUCUAUUCUGUUCAAAUACAUUGGCUAAAGAAACAAUGAAUCAAAACUAAAUGUAUAUAGGAGGAGACCUGGGAGUUGCUUCACAAUCAGUUUAAUCAAACUACCUGCCACCUAAGGUGACAGUAUAAGUUGUAAGUCUCUGUAAACAUUUAAAGAACUUACAGGUCAAAAAGCAUGAGACAAAAAGUCAUUUUAUAUAGGCUAUAGGCUACUCAUGCAUUGUAUAUAUAUGUAAUUAAUUUGGUGUUUCAUUCAAUUAUUUGUUUAAUUACUCUCUCUGUAUAUGUAAAUAUAUGUACACCAUUUUGAAUUAAAUGAUUGAAAUGAAAUUAAAUUAAAUGAGGGAUGACAAUUUAGAACAUACAUAAGUUUUCAAUUUAACAACCCUCUAUGUUGACAUUAAUUUACACAACUACUUUAAUUUGUAGCAGACAGAGAUGGAAAUAAAAUGUAAAAGUUUGAAAUGCAGUGCUAGGUAAAUAAAUAAAUACAAACAAACCAAAAACAACAACAACAAAAAAAAAACUCACAGAAACUUACAGUAAAAUCUGUAAUAGGCUACUCCUCGGUCUCUUACAUAUUCAUUAGAUUUUGUACAGAUUUAAAACCCACCAUAGUCAGCAAACUUUAUUCAGAAUGAAUGGGGAAACAUUUAAGAAAGGCCUUUAGGAAUAUUCGAUAAAGAUUACUUACAUUAAACAUUUCCUGUUGGAUAAACUCAUGUGACUCCAUUAAGGUGUGCGAUUGGAUCAAUCUGUGAUUAUAUAAAAGUAAAUGCGCCGCAGUCGUCGGACGGCGAAGCAGGAUGUUGAAUAUCACUUUAAAUUUGUCAAAACACUAAACCCGACAGAUUUGUUUACGAAUUUCUCCUUAAUGGCCGCUCGCGUGACCCUAUAGACCAGUACUGUCAAGCGAGCUGAAAAAAAUUACGUCCAAUUAGUGAUUUUGAAACGACUCAAGGUAUGUGGUACUCUACUCAUACAGGAAAUGACAUCAACGGGUCAAAACUAAAAAUAUGUCGCUGGGCGGACGGUGUGGGACGCCCUGAACCUGUUCUGUACUGGAUGCUUCGAGGCACGUUUCUAUAGUUUUGGAAGGUGGAUGCUGAGGACUUGAGCUGAGUGAGCGCUUCUCAACCAUUACUUUCAUCCUCUGCAAGUUAAGCGCAGACGACACUUUCUCUCUGACGCCGUGGGCCAGUUGUCUCUUUGAACUCAUUUAACCAGGGAUUAAACAAGUUAAUAUCGGAGGACAGGACAGUACAGAAGGCAGUCAGGAAGCAAAAUAGGAAAGAGGUGGGGGGACGGGAUCAGAAAGGACAACGAGCCAGGACUCGAACUCUGUUGCCCGAAGCACAACCACGCUAUGUGUUGGAGUUGCCGCUUUGAUUUUAAAAGCCUUAAUUUUACACUGAGCUAGUGGGAAGGUCACUAUUUUGUCAUGUGAUCAGCAAAUGCAUUUAGCUUGCUUAGUGUAUUAAAUAUUAAUGGCAUAUUUGAUUUUCCUUGGAAUCGAUUCAGUGUGCUCAAUGCAUCAACUCUGCACUUUUUUUCCCCUACUGCCAGGUUUACUUUCCUUCAUUUUCUCCUCUAACGUAGUCAUAUCGGUAUCAUUGUGCCACUUAACAUUCGAUAUUGUCUAAAAUACUAGGUUGAGUCCUAUUGACAACUUUUUGUUAAAUUGGUUAUGCACAGGUCUUCGCUUUGUGCUGUAAGAGAAGACAACCGCAUCAAUGAGCAGGUCUACCCCAAUUUCCUAUGAGUCCUUCACUAUUGUGACAAUAAUAACAUGGGCUUUUUAUGCAGUAGCUAUUACUGCCCUGAGCAGCAGGAGAUCUUGCCAAGACCGAGGCGGCGGGGAUGAGAGAGUGCGGAGGGGGUUUACUUGACUCCACACAAGCUACAUCCCCGCCACUUUCCCUCCCUUCCUCCUCCUUGAAGAGGGCCGUUCCUGCUUUGCCACUUUGCCCUGACAACUGACUGCUUAAACGAGUGCAUGAAAAUAGGUGCCUUGCUGGUCUCCAUGACAGACCGCACAUAAUCAGUGUUGAGGUAUGUAAUUACAGCUGUCAGGCCCAUCCGCUGUAAUUGAUGCAAGUGCAAGCAGCGCUUGCUGCCAGGGCGGCCUCUAACUGCACACAUGGCAGCGACACUGGCCUCUCCUCAUGAGAGAAAAGGAGAAAAACAUUACCUGCACGAUGGAUGGCGUGCGUUAACCACCGCCAAGUGACUCUCUUUCUGCUACGAGUGACAGUCGUUUUUGUCAGCGAAGGAUAGUACCCCUGAACGGGUUUGUCUCCUGGCUUUCGAUUCUCAGACUCGGUUUGAUGUUGCCGGGCACAUUCACAGAUGGUGAAGGGGGGUAAGGGGGAGUGAUGAAAAUGCUGUCAAAGCCACAGACGCUUAAGUGUCUCCAAGGCGAGGUGGUCUGUCUGCGGGGUGUCUGUGCUUGGCUUAUCGCUGUUGGCUUUUUAAAUGUUUCAAUUCCUGCCAUCCAACUUGACUAGAAAAAAAAAAGAGAAAUCACUUGAAUCAGACUUCUUAUGCUGCUUCACGCGAGAAGAGGGGGGGCGUCAAGGUGGAUAGGCCAGAAAUGUAGUGACUUGAGCAUCUAGGCUGAAGGCUGGGGUAAAUAAGUCCUCUAGAGAACAUAUAAAGACCUCUCUGGCUACAAAGCAGGAGUCUCAGAUGCCUGCCCUGCGCCUAGCUGUUGUAAUAUUGAUCAGAGGAAGGUGUGUUUCCCUCUUUUAUUUCUGCUGAGGAUUGAUGGUGGAAACCAACACAAGAGGAUAUUUAUUGAUUUAGCUUGGGAAGUUAUGGGCAAAUAACUUGACAACUGCACCCAAAUGCAGUCGUAUAGAAGCCUCGUUUAAUUCUUGUUUGUUUUGCCAUUAUUGAUUUUAUUAUUUUUUUAUCAGCUGUUACUAAAACUGUUCAUUUGCUAUGACAUCAGGGUUCCCAUUUGUUAACAUGUUUCGCAUUUACAUUUUUGUCUCUGUACCAGGAACAAAAGCGUUGCUCGCUAUGCCAAAAUGUUAAGUAGAAUUUUUCAUACAAACUUGAAUUCAUACAUCCUCAUUUUUUUUAUUUGAAAAGAAAGACAUGCGCUGACUGCUUUAAAGAUAUUAAUUUAAGAUUUUUAAUUAUUUAAUAAAUUAAAUUAAAAAUUAUCAUAUGGUUUGGCUCAGAGUACACAUGGAUUAUGAAUUCUCAACUGGAAGGAUGCAUUACAGCC